GGGGUUCUCUGGUGGAGAGGGGAUUAUCACUACGAUACUUGUCCUAUCUCCAUUAGGGGCCACCAUGACUAGGUCCCUGGAAUAGAGGGGUUUCCCUAAUCUUGGAGCUGAAGACCUAGGGACCUAAGGCAGGUGCUCAAUGAGGGAAGAAUUAGGGAACAUGUGAGGAAGGUGCGGCAGUCCUCACAUCACAUGAUCUGCUGGCUGCAACAGCCGAUUAUCUGAACACAGAGAUGAACUCACUGUUGCCCUCAUGUCUAGAGGCCAGGGUGGUACAGAUGCCUCAGAGCCACCUGUAUCUCUGGGUGGAUGACAGUUGUCUACCUGUCCUCCUGUGGAUGACAUUUGCAUGUUGGUGGUUAGGGCAUUACAAAGAGGGCUGCUGUGAACAUUACUGUACACGUGUGCUCUGAAACUCACCUUCAAUUUCCCUGGUGCACAUCAGGAAUGGAAAGACUGGCCAUAUGGAGGCAUGUGUUGACAUGUUUAGGAAUCACUGACUGUUGUCCUGAGUGACUUCGUGUCCACUCAGUCUCUGCUUUUUCUCCUGCUCCCUAACUUGGUCCUAAUGGCAUCCCAUCUCAUUCAUACCUCAGGCCCAUACUUCACCAACUUCUCCAUGUGUGCUCAUGGAUCCAUUUCCAUGAAGUUGCUCUGACACCCUGUUGUCAGUUGCCCUAUGACUCUUGGUGUCACCCUUACUUGUGGUGUGUCACAUUUCCCUCUUAAUAGACACCCUGUAAAGGCUGGGCACUGACAGAAGAGAAUGUUCAGGAUUCACAUUGAGAACCCAGGAUGACUCCUAAUAUGGAGACAUGUCGGUGGGGUGAUCUUCUCAGGGAAAUAGAGCCAAUCCUGAUGUAUAGAAAGCAGGAUGGCAGUAUCCUGUCACCUAGCUCCCUUUGAGGCAGAGCCUAUCCCAACACUAUCCUGCCAGGACCCCAGAGCAGCUGCCAGCACCAUCUGCCAUCCCAGGUUCUGUGUCUGCUAUGGAGCUGAUCUAACUCUACCCUCCAGCCAGGUGAGGCCUUCCUGUGAGCACUACAUGUUUUCCUCUUCCCUCUUGAUCCAGAGCUCUUGGCUGAGGAGUGCUUAACUGGUGUUGUUGACGUGAAAAGAAGAGGUUAAGAAGGAUCAGAGAUGACUCAAGGCUGGAUGUGUUAGUGGACUGGGAGUUGGGUGGGGCUGUUGCAGGGUAGUGUUCCCUCUGGAGUCCAGAGUACAGUCUGCACAGGACCAGGAGUUGCCAGGGAGAAGACAGGUCUUGGAACCCGGCAGAGGUGCCUCUGUAUGUAAUGUUCUGUGUUGGUUUUCUGGGUAAGUAGCCUGAAAUCCAGGCCUCCUGUGAUGCCUUCUGGGGAGGCAGGAUGCUGCUUGAACUUUCAGGGGCACCUGGGCAGGAAAGUACCAGGGGAGCCAGGCCAGCCACUCAAUGAGGAGCAUGUGCAGAUUGUCAACACAAGUUAUGGAGCUUAAUUUUUAAUAAGAAAACAGAGGUCUUCCGAAUUUCCUGAGGGUUUCUGCUGAGAGGUAUCAAGGGCGUUUUAGCCCCCCUGACAUGCUUCAGUAGUGUGGUUGGCAGCUCCCUGUAUUAGAGGGAGAAUUUGAGAAAUGUUGAGGAUUUGAAGGUGAGUCUAUUCAGCUCAGCAGCCGCUGAACAGAAUUGAGCUCCCUGUGAGUUCUGUGUAGUGAAAUCUUCCCUAGAGAGGGGAGUGUUUUACUGCUGGCCCCUUUCCCACCACCUUUGCACAAGGUCACACUCCUGCACCCUGUUAGCCUUUGGAGUGAGGUAUAGGCUACACUCUGACAUUCCUGUGUCCAAGGGGCACCUCUCUUGAGACUGACAGGGAAAAUCUGGCUGAGGAAGGCUAAGGGAGUGUAGACAAGGGUGAAUUACCCAUCAAAUUUUAAUUCAUUGUGUUUGAGAAGAGGUUUGUGGCCCCUACCCUGUUCUACCCUCACUCCCUGGGUCAGGUGGGCUCAUUGGACACAGGUGAGACACCGUAACCAGGUGGAGCAUCCUCUUCUGUGCCUUCCUGAGGCACCUUUCUUGCUGAGAUUAAAAAGGACACCUUUGCCUUUCCAAACUGAAUGGCUAGGAGGGCAGUUGGAGGAGGUAUGAGAGGUGACUUGUUCAGGGGUAUGAAGCUGCAGUAUAAAGUGCUCCAAGAUAUUCAGAGGCAGGUGUCAGGGACCCUAAUGACAGUCACCACCAGGCUUUCCCUGACCAGGAUGGUCCUGGGGGCUCCUGGAUUUGCUUCCAUAUCUGUGUGUCCUUCCCCAGAAGACUUCUAUAGGCAGAGAUGCAGUUUUGUGUUGUUGUACCUGCAUUUUCCUGAGAUUAAUGAUUGCACCUACAACUUUUAAAAAAAUCUAUUUCCAUAGGCAGAAACUGCAUCCUGAACUGGAGUUUAUCAACUGCAUCUACAGAUGUUUUCAUACAGAACCCACUUUGCCCCAGUGUGGGGCACAAGGGUAAGAGCAGGCCAGGUGGAUCAGGGCAGAGCUCUGGGGAAGAAUAGAGAACCCAGGGCCUCCAUGGCAUAAAUGCACUGCAGUUCUGUCACUCAUUUACCUGUUGAGGCACAUCCUGAUUCCUUAAUUUAUUUUGCCAUUCUGAAUAGAACUUCUGUGUAUAAUUGCAUGUUGUAUACACAUAUUUU
Molecule: long non-coding RNA, 2663 nt
Filed under: Marmota monax (woodchuck)
Lineage: Eukaryota; Metazoa; Chordata; Mammalia; Rodentia; Sciuridae
Source: RNAcentral